UACGGGGGGGGGCAAGCGUUGUUCGGAAUUACUGGGCGUAAAGGGCUCGUAGGUGGCCAACUAAGUCAGACGUGAAAUCCCUCGGCUUAACCGGGGAACUGCGUCUGAUACUGGAUGGCUAGAGGUUGGGAGAGGGAUGCGGAAUUCCAGGUGUAGCGGUGAAAUGCGUAGAUAUCUGGAGGAACACCGGUGGCGAAGGCGGCAUCCUGGACCAAUUCUGACGCUGAGGAGCGAAGCCAGGAGCAACGG
This 249-nucleotide ribosomal RNA is filed under the name uncultured bacterium. RNAcentral's name for it is "partial 16S ribosomal RNA". It matches the Rfam family "Bacterial small subunit ribosomal RNA", at positions 524 to 771 of the family's 1533-position model. The record is from RNAcentral.